Microplitis mediator is the source of this 674-nucleotide long non-coding RNA. RefSeq lists it as uncharacterized. Lineage: Eukaryota; Metazoa; Arthropoda; Insecta; Hymenoptera; Braconidae. The record is from RefSeq and is a predicted model, not a curated record. The transcript is spliced from 3 exons.
ACUUGUCUUUGUUUUGGGUGUCGGUGGAGUUACUCAGUAGCCCGCCACAUUUACCCUUUGUGUUGUUAUUUACCGAGUAUCCGUUCUACAUUAAACAUCUAGCUACUGAACCACUGAAUGUGGUCGUCAUUUAUCGUAUAACGUAUUAUUAUUAAAAAAUAAUUAAUCAAAAAUUUAUUAAGUUGAAAUAAUUAUUAAUGCGUAUGUUAAUUAAAAAUACAAACUGUAAAUAGGAAGUGUAGUGUCUGUAUGUACUUGUAUAUACACAAUAUAACUUAAAAAAAUAAAAAGUGACCAACGGUAAAUAAUCAGGAGAGGAGGUAUACUUAAUGAUAAGGCAUUAUAAAGUUUUAUAAUACGUUAUAAAACCAAAUCAUAAUAAUACAUAAAGUAUUAUACAAUUUUUUUAUAUGAGCUCACCCGCUAGAAAAUUUUUAUAAUCAGAAUUUCGGAAAAUAUUUGAGAACCAGAGUACCAGGACCACUAAUUUAAUCUUAAUUGAACUAAAUGCAGAUUUAAAAUACUUCAAAGUAUUUGAACAAUUUUGUGGGUGUCUUGGCAUUUUUAUGAAGCAUCUUUUUGACCAUAAAUGUUAUAUUCUAUAAAAGUUUAUAUAUCUAUAAAUAAUAAAUACCUCCAUAACCAUAGAACAAACCAUCGAACUUUUUAUUUCU